Molecule: ribosomal RNA, 667 nt
Filed under: Salmonella enterica
Lineage: Bacteria; Pseudomonadati; Pseudomonadota; Gammaproteobacteria; Enterobacterales; Enterobacteriaceae
Description: partial 23S ribosomal RNA
Rfam family: Bacterial large subunit ribosomal RNA
Source: RNAcentral
AGCCAGGAUGUUGGCUUAGAAGCAGCCAUCAUUUAAAGAAAGCGUAAUAGCUCACUGGUCGAGUCGGCCUGCGCGGAAGAUGUAACGGGGCUAAACCAUGCACCGAAGCUGCGGCAGCGACGCUGAUGCGUUGUUGGGUAGGGGAGCGUUCUGUAAGCCUGUGAAGGUGGCCUGUGAGGGUUGCUGGAGGUAUCAGAAGUGCGAAUGCUGACAUAAGUAACGAUAAAGCGGGUGAAAAGCCCGCUCGCCGGAAGACCAAGGGUUCCUGUCCAACGUUAAUCGGGGCAGGGUGAGUCGACCCCUAAGGCGAGGCCGAAAGGCGUAGUCGAUGGGAAACGGGUUAAUAUUCCCGUACUUGGUGUUACUGCGAAGGGGGGACGGAGAAGGCUAUGUUGGCCGGGCGACGGUUGUCCCGGUUUAAGCGUGUAGGUGUGUGUUCCAGGUAAAUCCGGUUCACUUUAACACUGAGGCGUGAUGACGAGGCACUACGGUGCUGAAGCAACAAAUGCCCUGCUUCCAGGAAAAGCCUCUAAGCAUCAGGUAACAUCAAAUCGUACCCCAAACCGACACAGGUGGUCAGGUAGAGAAUACCAAGGCGCUUGAGAGAACUCGGGUGAAGGAACUAGGCAAAAUGGUGCCGUAACUUCGGGAGAAGGCACGCUGACAC